Molecule: transfer RNA, 65 nt
Filed under: Haploginglymus sp. JP-2016
Lineage: Eukaryota; Metazoa; Arthropoda; Malacostraca; Amphipoda; Niphargidae
Description: tRNA-Glu
Source: RNAcentral
GUUUUUAUGGUGUAAAUAACACAUAACCUUUUCGAAGUUAAAUUAACUAUAUAAAUUUAAAAACA